UGGCGGACGGGUGAGUAAUGUCUGGGAAACUGCCUGACGGAGGGGGGUAACUACUGGAAACGGUAGCUAAUACCGCAUAACGUCGCAAGACCAAAGAGGGGGACCUUCGGGCCUCUUGCCAUCGGAUGUGCCCAGAUGGGAUUAGCUAGUAGGUGGGGUAACGGCUCACCUAGGCGACGAUCCCUAGCUGGUCUGAGAGGAUGACCAGCCACACUGGAACUGAGACACGGUCCAG
Molecule: ribosomal RNA, 235 nt
Filed under: uncultured bacterium
Lineage: Bacteria
Description: partial 16S ribosomal RNA
Rfam family: Bacterial small subunit ribosomal RNA
Source: RNAcentral